GCCGUGUUGAGAUUUGUUUUUAGCUUAGCUGGGACACGAGUGAGAUUGUAACCGAGGGGAAAAAACGGUUAAGCUUAUUUUCUCUGAGAUUGGUUUUAUUUCAGUAUUCUCACAGACGCCAAACACCUCCGCAUCUUUCUUGAAGUUGAUUUGCUGCCAUGCCGGUGCACCGUGACCGGGAGAAAAAGGAAAGUACAGCAGAGGAGAUGGAGGUGGAAGAGCAGGAGCAGGAGGCGUCCAGCUCAGAGGAGGAGGAUUCUGACACCUCCUCUGUCUCUGAGGAUGGAGACAGCUCAGAAAUGGAUGAGGAGGACUGUGAGCGGAGGAGGAUGGAGUGCCUGGAUGAAAUGUCCAACCUGGAGAAACAGUUCACUGAUUUAAAAGACCAGCUGUAUCGUGAGCGUCUCAGUCAAGUGAACAGCAAGUUGGCAGAGGUGGAAGCUGGCCGGGCAGCAGAAUAUCUGGAGCCUCUGGCGGUGCUGCUGGAGAACAUGCAGGUCCGCACCAAAGUGGCAGGUAUCUACAGAGAGCUGUGUCUGGAGUCUGUGAAGAACAAGUAUCAGUGUGAGAUCCAGGCAGCGUGCCAGCACUGGGAGAGUGAGAAGCUGCUGCUGUUUGAUACAGUACAGAGUGAACUGGAGGAGAAAAUUAGAAGACUGGAGGAGGACAGACACAGCAUAGAUAUUACAUCAGAGCUGUGGAAUGAUGAGUUGUCAGGGAGGAAGAAGAGGAGAGAUGCUUUAAGUCCUGACAAGAAGAGGAGAAGACCUUCAGUGGUGUCUGGCCCAUAUAUUGUCUAUAUGCUACCUGACUUGGACAUCCUGGAGGACUGGACCGCCAUCAGAAAGGCUGUGGCUACGCUGGGUCCCCACAGAGGGAAGGCCGACUCUGACAGCUCCGUGUUCCCAUUCAGACCAGACAGAAACAGACCCAUACUAAACUGCUGAGGCGUACACACAUUGCCCAAACACACACAUACACACACACACACAUGCAGUCACACAUUAGGAGACACACUCAAACACAUGAACAAUGCACACAGCGGUACAUUUGUCCCAACGCUCCCACAAUUCACUACACUUCUCAGCGAACAGCGACACCAGUCGGUAAGCUGCCUCUCGUGCCAACAGGCACACACAACAAGGACUCACGGGUUUGAAUCCCCUUGAAGGAGAAAUAGAAACAGAAGCAUUUUUUUUCCUUUAAUGCUAAUCACCAGCACUUCCAUUCAGAAUUGGGCUAUUAUUUUUCUGUUCCCUUAGUGGAGAGGUAAGAGAGGAUUUGUGUUUUCAACUUGGAGCCUUUAAGUAUCACUGGACAUUAAAACUCCAGAAAGAAAUCAGGGUUUUAUUUUAUUAAGUAAUUCCUUGAAUUUUGAUAGAAGACUAAUACUACAUGUUACAGGUCUACUACAUGAUUUCAGACUAUAUGUCUCACACUCUGACCUCUGAGCAUUAGAUCACAGCCGUUUUCCUUCAAAGUAGGUGCCACAUUUUGGAUUGAAAUGAUCAGUGGCAAAUUGUUGUCAGUCCUUGUUUACAUAUUGAACAGAUCCAUCCACUUGGGUGGACCUACAGUAAAGUUCUUUUUUUUUUAACCUCCCAGAUCCUGUCGUAUUUGGUGAGCAUGCUAACGCCUUUUUCACAUUAAGGUGAAAACAUUGGCCUAAAGGUAUAAAAAGGCAAAUUUUUAAUACAACCUAGUUUACACCCUGGGUUCACUGUUGCCUGGAAUUGUUCAUCAGUGUCAUGUGAUGUUGUUUUUUUAAGUGUUUUACUGCUACCGAGCUCCGUCAUCUGAUGUGGAUGCCGUUAAACGGGCACACCUUGAGUCACAUGGAUUGUUUUCCCAGUUGUCUGAACACUGCAGUCACCAGCAGUUCAAGGGCCUUUGCAAACAUCUAUAUUGGUGCAUCUUGCAUUUGUAGGAGUUACCGUUUGGUUUCUGUGACAAACUCAGUGACAACUUAAAUCCCACACUGAUAAAUGCAAGGUAAGGAAAUAAAUAUUUCAAGCUUGUGAGUGCAAACAAGACCAAGACAGAAAGGAAUAACACUUAGGAUCUUCCUGUCCAGAUUCUAUCUUCAUGAAUCUGGACAGGAAGAUCCUCAGUAUUAUUCCUUUCUUUUGGACGCUUAUCCUUUUCUAACCACUGAACAUUUAUGCACCGCCAUCUCUGUUGGUAGUACAGUGGGUAGUGGCUAAACUGUAGCAGAAACAGACGUGAUCUCCAUAGAUCUUAACUUAAGACCAUAUACAGUGUUGAUAAGAUACCUGUGCAUUUUUGGCCUGAAGCCUUUCAUACAAAUUCUCUAUAUUUGUUAAUAUAUUACUAGUUAUUUUAAAGAUGAUCACAUUUUUUUACUAACCACUACAUCAGCAAUUGCAAUUCUAUUCAAUAAUGUAAUGACACGGUAUCCACGUUAAAGUGAUUUUAACUGAAGGCCAUGAAAUACCAAGGUAUCCCUUGUUGUUAUUCACCGGGUUUUAUUGUUACAUUCUCUGCUUAUUGAAUCUACCUCUUCUCUCUUCCUCUCGCUCUGUGUCAUGCUUUCCUUAGAAAUACUCAUCCAUUAUUCAGUGAACAUGUAAAUGCUUCCAUCCUUAUGAUCACCUUGACAAAAACUGAUCUUUUUUUUUCUCUUGGUGUAUAUUGUAUAGACAGGGAAGGAUCCUAGGAGCCUAAAUCACAUCCUUCCAAUAACACUCCUCCACUGAAUCUUCACAGAGAUAAACCAUUGUUUUUACAGGAUGAUGAACAAACUGACAUUUAAUAGAACAGAUUGUUUGUGAAGAUUAAAGUGGUGGGAAUGUAAAAUGUUCAAAUUUAUAUUUUUCAACAGUUUAUGUUAAGUAAUGUUUCAGGUACAUUUGUGUCUUUUUUUGUUAAUGAUGCGGAUGAGUUUUACAAUUAAAAGUUUUAUAAUUACUUUGUGGUGUCUGUGU
Molecule: RNA transcript, 2945 nt
Organism: Toxotes jaculatrix (banded archerfish)
Lineage: Eukaryota; Metazoa; Chordata; Actinopteri; Toxotidae
Gene: brms1la
Gene name: BRMS1 like transcriptional repressor a
Exons: 10
Source: RefSeq, a predicted model, not a curated record